RNAcentral lists this ribosomal RNA (497 nucleotides) under uncultured bacterium. RNAcentral describes it as "partial 16S ribosomal RNA". It matches the Rfam family "Bacterial small subunit ribosomal RNA", at positions 28 to 507 of the family's 1533-position model. The record is from RNAcentral.
GAUGAACGCUAGCUACAUGCUUAAUACAUGCAAGUCGAGGGAACACACCAUCGACUUCUUCCUUUUACUUUACCGCCGCCCGCGCGCGUAAGAGUAACACAUCUUCAACCUACGCAUCACUUAGCUAUAACCUUGCGGAGCUAAUACUAAUACCCAAUGAUAUCUCUAUAAUACAUCUGUAAGAGAUUAUUUUUCUAUCACUGAUAGAUGGGUCCGCGUCGCAUUAGCUUGUUGGCAAGGUAACGGCCUACCAAGGCGACGAUGCGUAGCCGAUCUGAGAGGGUGAUCAGCCACACUGGAACUGAGACACGGUCCAGACUCCUACGGGAGGCAGCAGAAGGGAAUCUUCCGCAAGGGGCGGAAGCCUGACGGAGCAACGCCGCGUGAGUGAUGAAGGUCUUCGGAUCGUAAAACUCUGUUAUUAGGGAAGAACAAAUGUGUAAGUAACUAUGCACGUCUUGACGGUACCUAAUCAGAAAGCCACGGCUAACUACGUG